UUGGAGAGUUUGAUCCUGGCUCAGGAUGAACGCUGGCGGCGUGCCUAAUACAUGCAAGUCGAACGAGUUCUCGUUGAUGAUCGGUGCUUGCACCGAGAUUCAACAUGGAACGAGUGGCGGACGGGUGAGUAACACGUGGGUAACCUGCCCUUAAGUGGGGGAUAACAUUUGGAAACAGAUGCUAAUACCGCAUAGAUCCAAGAACCGCAUGGUUCUUGGCUGAAAGAUGGCGUAAGCUAUCGCUUUUGGAUGGACCCGCGGCGUAUUAGCUAGUUGGUGAGGUAAUGGCUCACCAAGGCGAUGAUACGUAGCCGAACUGAGAGGUUGAUCGGCCACAUUGGGACUGAGACACGGCCCAAACUCCUACGGGAGGCAGCAGUAGGGAAUCUUCCACAAUGGACGCAAGUCUGAUGGAGCAACGCCGCGUGAGUGAAGAAGGCUUUCGGGUCGUAAAACUCUGUUGUUGGAGAAGAAUGGUCGGCAGAGUAACUGUUGCCGGCGUGACGGU
RNAcentral lists this ribosomal RNA (508 nucleotides) under Lacticaseibacillus casei. Its description in RNAcentral is "bacterial SSU rRNA". It matches the Rfam family "Bacterial small subunit ribosomal RNA", at positions 1 to 476 of the family's 1533-position model. Lineage: Bacteria; Bacillati; Bacillota; Bacilli; Lactobacillales; Lactobacillaceae. The record is from RNAcentral.